This 614-nucleotide ribosomal RNA is filed under the name uncultured Planctomycetota bacterium. Its description in RNAcentral is "bacterial SSU rRNA". It matches the Rfam family "Bacterial small subunit ribosomal RNA", at positions 236 to 864 of the family's 1533-position model. Lineage: Bacteria; Pseudomonadati; Planctomycetota. The record is from RNAcentral.
UGCUAUUAGCUUGUUGGUGGGGUAAAGGCCUACCAAGGCAAAGAUGGUUAGCGGGUGUGAGAGCAUGGCCCGUCUCACCGGGACUGAGACACUGCCCAGACAUCUACGGAUGGCUGCAGUCGAGAAUCUUCCGCAAUGGACGAAAGUCUGACGGAGCGACGCCGCGUGAUGGACGAAGGCCCUCGGGUUGUAAACAUCUGUCGUAGGGGAGGAAAUUUUGACCGAUCCUAGGAGGAAGCACAGGCUAAGUUCGUGCCAGCAGCCGCGGUAAUACGAACUGUGCAAACGUUAUUCGGAAUCACUGGGCUUAAAGGGUGCGUAGGCGGGUUAGUAGGUCAGAUGUGAAAUCCCACGGCUCAACCGUGGAACUGCGUUUGAAACCACUAGUCUUGAGGGGAUCAGAGGAGAGCGGAACUGAUGGUGGAGCGGUGAAAUGCGUUGAUAUUAUCAGGAACACCGGUGGCGAAGGCGGCUCUCUGGGAUCUUUCUGACGCUGAGGCACGAAAGCUAGGGGAGCGAACGGGAUUAGAUACCCCGGUAGUCCUAGCUGUAAACGAUCUGUACUAGUCCGUGGGGACCCCCACAUCUUCUCGGACGUAGCGAAAAGUGUUAAG